CCUACGGGGGGCAGCAGUGGGGAAUAUUGCACAAUGGGGGAAACCCUGAUGCAGCGACGCCGCGUGAGUGAAGAAGUAUUUCGGUAUGUAAAGCUCUAUCAGCAGGGAAGAAAAUGACGGUACCUGAUUAAGAAGCCCCGGCUAACUACGUGCCAGCAGCCGCGGUAAUACGUAGGGGGCAAGCGUUAUCCGGAUUUACUGGGUGUAAAGGGAGCGUAGACGGCAGCACAAGUCUGGAGGGAAAUGCCGGGGCUUAAACCCGGAACUGCUUUGGAAACUGUGCAGCUAGAGUGCAGGAGAGGUAAGUGGAAUUCCUGGUGUAGCGGUGAAAUGCGUAGAUAUUAGGAGGAACACUAGUGGCGAAGGCGGCUUACUGGACUGUAACUGACGUUGAGGCACGAAAGCGUGGGGAGCGAACAGGAUUAGAUACCCGAGUAGUC
Molecule: ribosomal RNA, 440 nt
Filed under: uncultured bacterium
Lineage: Bacteria
Description: partial 16S ribosomal RNA
Rfam family: Bacterial small subunit ribosomal RNA
Source: RNAcentral